CCUGUCUACCGACAGUGGCCGAUGCCAGGUGCCCAGAGGGAGUGAACAGAAGAGAUUUCACCAACCAAGUGUCAAGUGUGAGCUCCUGGAGCCCUAUGACAGCAUAACCAUGGAGUCCCAGACAGUCCCCAUGGGAAUCGGGUCUGUCAUGCCACCCAGAGCUCACGCUGAUGGGACAAGUGUUUGUGCAGGUCUCCUCUUCGUCGGUGUGGAGGGAGCAAUCAAGAAAGUCCUAGGUCCACUGAUGGUCCACAGCGGCUUGUGUGGUGUCUGUGGCCUUCUUGUGGUGGAGAAGAGAUGACACCUCUUGUGGUGUCGAGUCUGACCCGGAAGAAGACCCAGACGCCCGAGGCCCCGUGCUGAGGGCCUACGAUGCGACCAGGACAGAUGGGACCUGCUGUGGAGCCCAAAGGAAGGAAGAAGCAAAACCAGAAACGUGCAGCCGUGAUCCCGGCCCCCACGCCUGCAGCAGGACAGAGCAGCCUCUCGGACGGGAGCGGACCGGGCCUGGCAGCGCCGCGGGAGAACUGAGAUAAGGACCGCCUAAUAGCAUUGUGUGUCUGCCGUCUGUGGGGUGCGGAGCUGGGGCAAGGGCAGCGGGAGCCCUCUAUCGAGGACAGCCGGGAUUGCAGCUCCUGUGUGGCUACGUUUGAAGAGCGCGGGCGCUGGGAAGCUGGUCGGACGGGAGGGGCAGAACCAGAGCAUC
Molecule: long non-coding RNA, 706 nt
Organism: Mauremys mutica (yellowpond turtle)
Lineage: Eukaryota; Metazoa; Chordata; Testudines; Geoemydidae
Exons: 5
Source: RefSeq, a predicted model, not a curated record